RNAcentral lists this small RNA (417 nucleotides) under Pan troglodytes (chimpanzee). RNAcentral's name for it is "processed transcript". Lineage: Eukaryota; Metazoa; Chordata; Mammalia; Primates; Hominidae. The record is from RNAcentral.
AACGCGCAUACGCUGCUGCGAUGAAGGUCAUGGGCAUUUCCUGAUGGAAAAGAUUUGAAACACUCUGAGACUUUAGCUUUUGACAAGGGGACCCCAGAGAACGCUAAGCCAGUGUUUCUCUGACAGCUCUAAGAAGCCCUGGUCUUCUGGGAAACCCUGGAGGGAGCAAGGCAAAAGGAAGGCUCUGAACUUCACACCUGAUUUUCCACCAGAACAUUUCUGCCCUUUUCUAUGUGACAAGCCAUUGAAUAGAAAGUUCUACAGCCAAACAUUUGAUUUAGGAAGAGCAGGACUCUGACGCAGUACAGUUAAUCUGUGCAUAGGAAAGAAGAGCUGUUUAAAGAGGUUAUUCGGUAAACGCAGAGAAUGUCUUUGUAGUAUAAAUUAUUGCUCUAUAUAAAACUGCUUGUAAGUUUU